AACCCAGGGCUUUUGCACUGAACUGAAUCUCCAGCCCUUUUUAUUUUGAUAGAGGGUCUCACAACAUCCCUGAGCUGUCCAGGCUGGGCUUGGACUUGCGAUCCUCCCAUCUCAGCCUCAGAGGGCUGGAUUUACAGGGAUGUGCCACCAUGCCCGGCAGAAAAUGAGGCGCUUAUGUCUCCAUAAGCCUUUUUCUUUUUUCUUUUUUUUUUGGUACUGGGGAUCGAACUCGGGUCCUUGCACUUGCGCAGCAGAUGGCAAAACCACUGAGCUAAAUCCCCGGCUAAAAUGAGGCUUUUAAAUAGAUCUCAAUACUUAGCAUUAUACUCAAUGGCAGUGAGCCUGCUUAGGACCCAAAUUUUGCUUUCUAAAUGCCAUUCCCCACUAAAAAGGAACCUUGGCUCUUUGAAGAAAUGAUUGAUUCCUUGUUUGGAGUAGGGGAAGCAUUUUUUCCAUGCUUGGGAAAAAAAAGCAAGAUAGAAUGUGAGCAUUAAUGGGUUAAUGUCAGAAGGACAGGAGCACAUGACUGCGUAUAUACACACGUGUGUAUAUGUUCCCAUUGGACAAAUUUGGACAAUUUAAAGAAAAAUUAAUCACCAUAAUUGGUUGUAAUACACCUAGAAGGGAAAAAAAAAGCUCAUAGUGAUGAAAACAGACAACAAAGCUCUGUAUAAGGUAAUUUGAAGAAUGCUAUCUUUCAAAUACAGAUGAUUUUGAAAAAUCAUUUCACAACCUUAAUUAAAUCUAGAAGAAAACGAUGGUAAAACUUGUAAGGUAAAAAAAAAUUAACGUUGUUUACAUGAUGUUAAAAGAUCAGAGAUAGUGAUGGCAAAAGAUUUGUUUUUAUAAUGAGAUCCAUUUAAUUGUUUCACUACUUAUAUGAAAGCAUGUAGCUUCCCAUGAGAUGCAAAAUGAAGCAUACACAAGCAUAUAUAUUGCCCACAUGUUUCAUGAAUAUCUAAUUAAAUCUAUGUAAAAUUAUCUUCCUGUUUAUAAGGAAUAGAGGAAUAAGUUGAGUUACAUAGCAAGAAAGUAGAAUUAAGUAGACAGUUUAAGACAGUGUAUAAGACAACUGACCUAGGCUUUUCAGAAAGCCAAUAUAUUAAAUAAGAGGACUCUUCUAGAUAAGACACUUGAGAUAACCAAAUACCAGGAGUGAUCUUUCACUAGCUUCUGAUUCAGAAAAAAACAAACAGCUAUCAGAAAUAUUUGGGAAAAUAUUAAGAUAGGGUAUUAGAUAAUAUGGUGUGUUUAAUUUUCUUAGAAAUGGUAUUAGAGAUAUAGGAUAAUGUCCUUAUUAAUAGAUGCAUGCAGAAGUUUUUAAGUAUGAAAGGUCAUAUCUGCUAAGAAUUUUCAAAUAUGUAAAAUACUACUCUAGUUGUUGGACCUUUGUGGUAGAUAUAGAAAUAUUCAUUCGUCAUCCUUUAAACUUGUCUGUAUGUUUAAACUUUUAAUAAAAAUUGAGGCAAAAA
This is a long non-coding RNA of Heterocephalus glaber (naked mole-rat), 1472 nucleotides long. The record is from Ensembl. NCBI's taxonomy places the organism in Eukaryota, Metazoa, Chordata, Mammalia, Rodentia, Bathyergidae.